AGCAGGCACUUGCACUAUGCCUGUAGUCCCAGCUACAGGGAGGUUGAGGCAAGAGGAUUGCAUGAGCUCAGGAGUUCAAGGCCAGCCUGGGAAACAAGUGAGACUCUGUCUCAA
Molecule: small RNA, 114 nt
Filed under: Marmota monax (woodchuck)
Lineage: Eukaryota; Metazoa; Chordata; Mammalia; Rodentia; Sciuridae
Source: RNAcentral